RNAcentral lists this ribosomal RNA (196 nucleotides) under uncultured bacterium. RNAcentral's name for it is "partial 16S ribosomal RNA". It matches the Rfam family "Bacterial small subunit ribosomal RNA", at positions 328 to 538 of the family's 1533-position model. The record is from RNAcentral.
ACGCUCGACACCUACGGGAGGCAGCAGUGGGGAAUAUUGCACAAUGGGGGAAACCCUGAUGCAGCGACGCCGCGUGGAGGAAGAAGGUCUUCGGAUUGUAAACUCCUGUUGUUGGGGAAAAANGGAUGGUACCCCAACAAGGAAGUGACGGCUAACUACGUGCAAGCAGCCGCGGUAAUCUGAGCGGCUGCAAGGC